This 370-nucleotide ribosomal RNA is filed under the name uncultured bacterium. RNAcentral describes it as "bacterial SSU rRNA". It matches the Rfam family "Bacterial small subunit ribosomal RNA", at positions 527 to 896 of the family's 1533-position model. The record is from RNAcentral.
GUAGGGUGCGAGCGUUAAUCGGAAUUACUGGGCGUAAAGCGUGCGUAGGCGGUUCUCCAAGUCCGUUGUGAAAGCCCCGGGCUUAACCUGGGAAUGGCAGUGGAAACUAGGGGACUUGAAUCUGGCAGAGGGGGGUGGAAUUCCACGUGUAGCAGUGAAAUGCGUAGAGAUGUGGAGGAACACCGAUGGCGAAGGCAGCCCCCUGGGCUGAGAUUGACGCUGAGUGCACGAAAGCGUGGGGAGCAAACAGGAUUAGAUACCCUGGUAGUCCACGCCCUAAACGAUGGCAACUAGGUGUUGGGGAAGCGAUUUCCUAGUACCGCAGCUAACGCGUGAAGUUGCCCGCCUGGGGAGUACGGUCGCAAGAUUA